GUGUCGUCUGCUUCGUUUAUUAGUUGAAAAUUUCGAGAAGACAAAGUUUCAAGAAAAGCAUGGUUCAAGAUUUAUACGGAUUUAUAUUAUUUGCUUUUGUUAUACACCAUGAUGUUAAGCGGACUUGAGGCCAGAGCCAGCUAUCAUAACCACACAACAUGCAAGUUUAUCUUGUGCAAGUGUUCACAUGUCAUCAGCAACAAUCUCAGGAUCAUCGCUUGGAUAAACAGCAUUCCUCUUGAUUGGAGAUUCUACCGAUGUCAACCGAGUUACGGAUCUCCCUUUUUCCCCUUUCUUUAAAUGUUCUUGUGUACGCCCAUGUGAAUGUGGGUGUAUUCACGAGGACAACCCUUUUUACCCUAUCCGUCUGGUGCCAUUUAAAUCUUCAGCUGAUGGAUGGAGCAACUGUAGAGAUGCCUGGCUGUAUUUCCCAGGCACAGAAGAUGGGGAAGUCGCGGUGUGAGAGCGUUUCCUCGUUCUCCGCGCUCAAAUUCAAAAAAUCACAUUCGUCUACAUAUGAGGAAGGACGGAGCAAAAGAGAGCCGAGCCGCUUUUCUUUUCUUUUUUAUAUGCCUGCAACAUUUUCAUAAAAUAAAAUAAAGAAAAAAGGAAAUUGGUGUCCAAGCAUUUACGAAUAGAUUCCUUAUGUUGGCGGAGAACCAAUUAAAACGGAUGGCAAAGAGAUCCUUGUCCUGAUGGGGUCGGAAACGGUCGAAAGUGAGGUGGAUAGAGAGGAGGAGCCCAUCAC
Molecule: long non-coding RNA, 748 nt
Organism: Daphnia pulex (common water flea)
Lineage: Eukaryota; Metazoa; Arthropoda; Branchiopoda; Diplostraca; Daphniidae
Exons: 4
Source: RefSeq, a predicted model, not a curated record